UUCAUUGUACCUCACUUUGGCUUCACCCAGCUGUAAGCGCAACAGGUUCUCUUUCAGUCCCUGUAUCUGUUUGUCUUUCUCUGUCUCCUCAUCUUUAGCCCUCUGUAAAUGAUGCACUAUGUGUCUUUCCCAUACGUGUGAUUCACUACCCGGCAAGUCAGGAUUUGCCAUCAUUGCCUCUUUUAUUUUCUCUGGAAGUCCCUCUAAGACCGCCCUUCUAAACCACUCCUGCUGCAGACCCCCCUUCCCCGGGUGGUGGUGCUUCUAGAUACUGUCUAGGGUGUUGCUCUUUUUCCCAAGGUAACUUGGGCAUCGGGGCCCCAGCGGGCAAGGGAAAUCGUUCCCUCAGGGCCGUGGCUAUGCGCCUGACCACCUGACUGAAAGGAGUGUCGUCAGAGCUCCGCCUAGUGGCGGCCCCUUUUUCUAUCUCAGUCAUAGCCUGGGCGGACACAGCUCGGGGCGGCUACUGCCCUCCAGUCCCCCAGUGCCAACAUUUGACCAGCUGUGAGUUUAUCAAAUUGUGACAACCAUAGUCCACCUCCCUCUCCCAUCGGGGGUAAUUUAUCUACCAGUGCCUGUACGUCUCCCAGUCCCAAUGGUUUAUAUCGCGGUUCGCUGCCUCCCACUCUAAAGAGAGGCAGCUGAAACCCAGCACAACCAGCUUCCCCUGCUUGUGACUGCGUAUACAUUUUAUUUUGAGUCUUUUGAAUUGAUUCUACUGCGUCAUGGUGUAGUUUAUGUUCUGGUGGGGGCGUACGCGGCAGAGAGUAUACGUCUGUGUCUCCUUUACUCCCAUCUCCGCUAAUGUCUGCGUCAGGGUCUUCGUCUGAGUCAGUCCAUCUCCCUACUGCUUGCCCCGUGAGUACCACCCGUCCUUUAUGUGAAUUUCCCUUUUUCUGCCUAGUUUUUGCUGCCCAAGACUCCGACCCCG
Molecule: long non-coding RNA, 931 nt
Organism: Esox lucius (northern pike)
Lineage: Eukaryota; Metazoa; Chordata; Actinopteri; Esociformes; Esocidae
Source: Ensembl